GUAGUAGGUAAGCGAUGGGGUGACGCAGGAAGGUAGUCCAGCCCAGGCGAUGGUUGUCCUGGGGUAAGCAUGUAGGGCGUGUCGUAGGUAAAUCCGCGGCAUUUAAGCCUGAGAUGUGAUGCCGAGCCGAUUGUGGUGAAGUGGAUGAUCCUAUGCUGCCGAGAAAAGCCUCUAGUGAGUGUUGUGGCGGCCCGUACCCUAUACCGACUCAGGUGGUCAGGUAGAGAAUACCAAGGCGAUCGGGUGAACUGUGGUUAAGGAACUCGGCAAAUUGCCCCCGUAACUUCGGGAGAAGGGGGACCUCUGUUGGUGAUGGGCUUUACGCCUGGAGCUGGUGGGGGUCGCAGUGGCCAGGGGGAAGCGACUGUCUACUAAAAACACAGGUCCGUGCGAAGUCGUAAGACGAUGUAUACGGACUGACGCCUGCCCGGUGCCGGAACGUUAAGGGGACCGCUUAGCUGACGUGAGUUGGCGAAGGUGAGAACUUAAGCGCCGGUAAACGGCGGUGGUAACUAUAACCAUCCUAAGGUAGCGAAAUUCCUUGUCGGGUAAGUUCCGACCUGCACGAAUGGCGUAACGACUUCCCCGCUGUCUCAACCGCAGACCCGGCGAAAUUGCACUACGAGUAAAGAUGCUCGUUUCGCGCAGCAGGACGGAAAGACCCCGGGACCUUCACUACAGCUUGACAUUGGCGUUUGGAACGUCUUGUGUAGGAUAGGUGGGAGACUGGGAAGCUGUCACGCUAGUGAUGGUGGAGUCAUUGGUGAAAUACCACUCUGGUCGUUUUGAACGUCUAACUCUGGUCCGUGAUCCGGAUCGGGGACAGUGUCUGGUGGGUAGUUUAACUGGGGCGGUUGCCUCCUAAAGAGUAACGGAGGCGCCCAAAGGUUCCCUCAGCCUGGUUGGCAAUCAGGUGUUGAGUGUAAGUGCACAAGGGAGCUUGACUGUGAGACUGACAGGUCGAGCAGGAGCGAAAGCUGGGACUAGUGAUCCGGCAUCGGCGUGUGGAAGCGGUGUCGCUCAACGGCUAAAAGGUACCCCGGGGAUAACAGGCUGAUCUUCCCCAAGAGUCCAUAUCGACGGGAUGGUUUGGCACCUCGAUGUCGGCUCGUCGCAUCCUGGGGCUGGAGUAGGUCCCAAGGGUUGGGCUGUUCGCCCAUUAAAGCGGUACGCGAGCUGGGUUUAGAACGUCGCGAGACAGUUCGGUCCCUAUCCGCUGCGCGCGCAGGAGACUUGAAGGGGGCUGUCCCUAGUACGAGAGGACCGGGACGGACGAACCUCUGGUGUGCCAGUUGUACCGCCAGGUGCACGGCUGGUUGGCUACGCUCGGAAGGGAUAACCGCUGAAAGCAUCUAAGCGGGAAGCUCGCCUUGAGAUGAGGUCUCCCACCACGAGAGUGGGUAAGGCUCCCGGUAGACGACCGGGUUGAUAGGCCGGAGGUGGAAGCACGGUAACGUGUGGAGCUGACCGGUACUAAUAGGCCGAGGACUUGACCAA
Molecule: ribosomal RNA, 1497 nt
Filed under: metagenome
Description: bacterial LSU rRNA
Rfam family: Bacterial large subunit ribosomal RNA
Source: RNAcentral